RNAcentral lists this ribosomal RNA (403 nucleotides) under Bacteroidota bacterium. Its description in RNAcentral is "Bacteroidetes bacterium partial 16S ribosomal RNA". It matches the Rfam family "Bacterial small subunit ribosomal RNA", at positions 355 to 776 of the family's 1533-position model. Lineage: Bacteria; Pseudomonadati; Bacteroidota. The record is from RNAcentral.
UGGGGAAUAUUGCACAAUGGAGGGAACUCUGCUGCAGCGACGCCGCGUGAACGAAGAAGGCUUUCGAGUCGUAAAGUUCUUUUAUAUGGGAAGAUAAUGACGGUACCAUAAGAAAAAGCCCCGGCUAACUACCUGCCAGCAGCCGCGGUAAUACGCAGGGGGCUAGCGUUGUCUGGAAUCACUGGGCGUAAAGGGUUCGCAGGCGGAAAUGCAAGUCAGGUGUAAAAGGCAGUAGCUUAACUACUGUAAGCAUUUGAAACUGCAUAUCUUGAGAAGAGUAGAGGUAGGUGGAAUUAUUAGUGUAGCGGUGAAAUGCGUAGAUAUUAAAAAGAAUACCGGUGGCGAAGGCGACUUACUGGGCUCAUUCUGACGCUGAGGAACGAAAGCGUGGGUAGCAAACAGG